AGAGAGGUGCGUGGUGUGCGCGUGUGCGUGCCCCUCUUGUCGCUCUCCGCACCCCCCCCCUCUCCUGUGCGAGUGUGUGCUGGUGGAGGCGGCUGACUGAGGCGACGGCGCACGCAAGGUAAGCAGCCGUGCAGCACAGCAGGAGCGUACACGCAUACACACCUAUACACGCGGGAACGGGACUGCAGGCGAGGGGCAGGACCGGAGAAUGCGCGGCGGUAUGAGCGAGUGCGACGGUGGAGCGGAGCAGAGGCGGGUCUGCUUUCCUGCUCGCUCCUCUGGCGUCUGGCUCGAGUCCGUCUGCGUGUGCGCCCCCUGUGUCGCUGUGUCUCCUCGCCUCUCUCCUGCGAGAUUUGUGUCGAUGGCUUCGUUGCUGACGCACCCCACCGAGUCCUCCGGGCUCCACCGUGUGGAGUUGCCACGCUGUAUGUGACGGGUUGCAGCGCACCGACGCGACUGUGGGGAGAGAAGCACUGCAUCCAGGUCGACUACACUGCAGGGCCUCACAGGGCCCUGACCGGAGGCUGGGCAGCAUUCUCCCUCGGCUCGUGCGGCACGUAGAGCCACCGCUCCCCACGAACGCCCUGCUACCCUUUGCUACCCCCUCCCCACCGACAGAGGCCAGCGCCUCCGUCAUGGAGCACGACCCUGAGGGGGCGGCCCCGCUGGGAGCGCGGCGUGCCGUGCGCCCCGGUGCGUGUGGCGCCGAUGCAGCGGCAGGACGGCUCGUCCUCGACGACGCGGAUGUGGCCGCCGUGCCACAGGGCGUAGGCGGGCCGUGGCUGUACGCGCGCAUCUGCCGGCUUGUGCGUGGUGGCGUGGAGGCGGUGAGAAGGAAGUGCAUGCCUCGCGGACUCGGACAGACAUGCGAAUCAGCACACCUAAGCAUAAGCAAAACGACGCGUGCAUAUAUGCACCGAUAUCUAUAUCUAUAUAUAUAUGGCUGUGUGGAUGUCUGUAACGACAAAACCGCCAAACGCCUGUUAUUACGCUGUCCUCGCCUGGCAGGGCGGGGGGCGUGCGUGCGCUUUUUACUCCUCUCUUGCUUGUCCUGUGUUUCCUUUGCGGCACGCCUUCCUGCGCGCGUGCCUGUUCGUUAUCAUGCUUGCUUCCGUUGUCCGACU
Molecule: unclassified non-coding RNA, 1124 nt
Filed under: Leishmania donovani
Lineage: Eukaryota; Euglenozoa; Kinetoplastea; Trypanosomatida; Trypanosomatidae
Description: gene:unknown
Source: RNAcentral